CCCACUUGACAACAAGUAUUACAAUAAGCAGGCCUCCAGUCAUAGACUACUUGCUGAUCAAAGCACUUUCCAUCAGGAUCCAUAACCUUGAUUACUAUUGGAAAAGGCCUUGUAAUGUCCAUUUCUAUUAACACCCUAGCAUAAAAAAUCUUUUCCAUCGUUGUUGUACAUUCAUCUGCAUAUAGGGGAUUUUCAAACCACUACUUAUCCUAUUUAGGAAAUCCAUAAAUCAAUAAAUUAGAGGCAAGUUCGAGAAUUUUGCCCAAAAGGUAUGGUCUUCAGAACCUCUUUUGCAAACUCAAAAUUAGAGGUCCAUGCCUUGAUAAUAAUAAUAGGUCUAUUAUUCAUCAUUUGAGGGCCAAGAUACAGCAUUUUGUUUCUAUCUGCUAAAUUCAUAAACUUAACUACAAAAUACCCUUCGUUGUGAUAGUAGAUUUUAGGUUUCUCCACCAUGUUCCAUCUAUUAGAAAUGAGGCGUUCAAGUCUUGCAAUGGUUGGAUAAGAACCAACCACAUACAAUACAAUCACAUUCAUUCAUAGUUCACUCGCCUUAUCAAUUUCAGGUUUAGAUAGAGUAGUUACUUUUUUGAAUUCUGGAUAGAAGGUACAAUAAAAGUAAGUCCCUAUGCCCUGUUCAACCAUCUUGUUUCCUUUAGUGAUAUUCGCCCAUGUACCACCCUCUGUCUGAUCUUCAGUUGUAGUAGAUCCAGUCGGUAUAGCUCCUUCAACACACAUUAUUUCUCCAAAUUUCAUCAGAUCUCAUAUCCGACGACUUUGAGCCCUCAGCACCAAUUACUGUUUCAUUGCUUAUGUCUUGCACCACUUCAGUAGAAGGAUUAGUGUCACCAUUUUUUAGAGUUGAUGCGCUCCCCUAAGCUUUCCCAACACUUGUACUACCCAAGCUACUUGAGAGUGGGGGAUAAAUCCUCGGAACCUUCUCUGCAGGCAAUUAUGAAGGAGUUCCCCCUGUUAUCAGCAUCUGGUAUCUUCAAAAGUGUUUUCCCUCUUUCAAUUAUAGUUAUUUUCGAUCGCAUGCCUCUGUUACCGUCUUCUUCGCGCUUUCCCUCGCCAUUUGAGGAGUAGUUUAGUAAUACACUAAUGUGCACCUAAGGGGAAGGAGAGAGAAAAAUCUUAAAGUUGCACAAAUUUUUAAGAACAGGUGAAGAAGAACAUAAAUUAUUGUUUGGAAGAUAGAUAAAGCCUUUCUUGUUUGAUUCUUCCUAACUAGCGAUGGAACGAGGAAGCUCAUUAGGUGUUACUGCAUUUUAGAUUUGAGUCACACUCAGCUAAACUAAAAUUUAAGUCACAAAAGCUAGGAGUUAUGAACAAAUGUUGCAUUAGAGAUUCAAUAGUUUUUCUUACAAAAAACUUAAAAUUAAUUAGCAGUCAAAUUUGGUUUAGAUGUGAAGCUUGCAGCUGCUAUGCAAGCCGGUAAAAUUGUAUUGAAAAAAUAAAAUGG
Molecule: long non-coding RNA, 1459 nt
Filed under: Capsicum annuum
Lineage: Eukaryota; Viridiplantae; Streptophyta; Magnoliopsida; Solanales; Solanaceae
Description: long non-coding RNA (CANN_LNC002892)
Source: RNAcentral